CCCUCAAGGAACUUAUAGUCGAAUGCACCUACCGAAUGUCAAAUGCCACCAUCCUCAUCAUUGUUCAGAAGCUUAUAACCAGCACCAACUUGUAUUACAUGCAACAAAGAACCAUGACAUUCUAGAAUGUCAGGUACAACAGAGACAGCUGUUUGUCCCCCAGUAUCCUUCAGACAAAGCCAUAUAUGAUUGAAGGUUAUCAGUACUGUGCUUUUGGAGGAUUCAGAAGAAGUUAUAUCUGAUUGGGAGAUUGAAAAGGAUUGGCCUGAAGGAGAGGUGGUUUUUGAACUGCAUCUUAAAGGAUGAGGAAACUGAGGCUGAGAGGGUAGAGAACUUUGCCUGAGGUCACUCAGCAGGGACCCACCCAUCACAGUAAAUGCCAGCACUGCUGAUGCCAAAACAAUGUUAUUUGUAGGCCCUCGGAAUUUGUGACCUGAAGGAAGAAGAGCAGGGCCGUGGGAAGUAUGUAACCAGUGUCAUGCCCCUGGUCCCAAGGAAGCAGUGGCUUGGCCUGAACACCCUGUCCUACCUGGUCCUACCUGGAUGCUGGCCUCAGUAAGCUCCUGGGCUCAUUGAAGAUGAACCUAGCAGUAGUAUUUACACCACUUGUUGUGUGCCCACUGUGGGCCCGGCGCCAUGCCGAGUGCUCUAUGGAUGUGAGUGCUGGGAGAGAAAAGCAUACGACAUAGACAGGGAGGUCAAGCUCCACCACGCAGAUGAGGUGCAGGCCACCAGUCUUCCUCUGCCACAUCUCUUUCUGAAAAGGUAACCCUGCACCGCCUUCCCAUUGGCUGCCACCUUGCAUCCCCU
RNAcentral lists this long non-coding RNA (810 nucleotides) under Homo sapiens (human). Its description in RNAcentral is "non-protein coding LINC02395:13". Lineage: Eukaryota; Metazoa; Chordata; Mammalia; Primates; Hominidae. The record is from RNAcentral.